ACACGUACCAAAACAAACACAUCAUCUCCAUCUUUUUCCCCAAACCUGAAGGUUUGCAAAAUAAUAAUUCAAAAGGUCAAACAAACUCAAUGUUAAAUUAGCUAUCAACAUCACUAACAAGAAAAUACUACCAGAUUAACAGUUUUGACCUAAAUCAGACUAGCUGAUUCCAAAACAUAAAACAGAAUUACUGUCACACAGUACAAUCUACCCUUACCCUUAUUUGCGUACACCAUUUACUGCUCCCACAGGAGGCCACGUCGCCAGCUAUUUGUUACCGUUCGAUUGCCCAUCUAUGGCUGCCUUGAAUGCACUUCACGUUGCCUACAGAUCCUUCCAGGCUCCUCCAAAGGAAGGCCGAUGCAAUAUAGAUGAAAAAAAAAACUCUGCUCUCUGCUGCUUCAACACGCACCAGCGCUGUUGUGCGCCUCCUCCUCACGUGUCUUUGGCUGCCUUGCCGCCACACCAUCAUCUGCCUGGAACGGUGUGCCUCUGAUGCUGUGCCAGCUGUGUUAGCGCAUCAUCUGCUUCGUGCGAUGGGCACGCCGCCACUACCGUGGGAGCCGCUUUGACCGGUUGCUCAUCCUCGCCUCUAGAGGCCCUGUGCUCAAGUCUUCCUCAGUUCUACUUCCUCUGUAAGCACAGUGAAGUACCUAGCUGUUGUUUCUAUUGCACUUACCUGCACUUACCUUCAAUUGUUUGACGAAAUGCUCAAAGGAUUUUUUGUUGCAAAUUUUGCAUUCCUAUGUGUUAUUUAUGCAUAUUUUAACAAGUUUUACCUUCCCAGCUUGAAUCAUUAUAGACCUAUAUAUUUUAUGAAAGUGACGGUUAAUGCUUUUGGCGGCAACAAUUGUUUCUACAGUUUGCUCUUCUAAUUCAUCCUUAGAUUUCAUAAGCAAUGGUUCUUGAGCCGCAUGCCAUCUCCACAUUGGCCUUACAAGUGCCAUCCUUCAGCAACAAACAGAAUCACUGUGAUUUCUGGUUUGAUAGCCACUAUUCUUUUAAUCUCUAGCAAACACCUUCUCCAACCAUUGUCAUUGAGUCACAUAGAUCAGGAACUUGAUAAUUAAUUAUCUGAUGGAGGUCCAACAACUAAUGUCUGUUACAAACUAAGUUCCAACAUUUGUUCUUACAAUAGUGAGCUAUAUUAAGUUCUCAUAAUUAUUCUUUUGGAUGUUGUAUGGAUGAAUAUAUUCUUCGUACCAAUUGCUGGCUUCUUCUGAUUUACCGUGGCAACGCACGGUGUCCUGGCUAGUUGUAUUAAUAAUCAGUUCGUUUAAAUUUUAUGUGCACAAUAAGGGAAAAUGAAAUUCUUAGCUGUUCCAUUUUGCAGCAUGUUGCAGAUUGACUCUGUGUGAGACUCAACACCAGUCAGGAAGUCACAACAAUUCAAUUGUGGCAACUGCAAAUUCAUUCAGAGACAAUGGCAACUGGAAAUUCAUUUAGAGACAUAAAAACCAUAUCUUAUUCAAUCUUUCCUAAAGGUACUGAACAAACUAUGAAAUGAAAAGUAGCUAUUGCAAAUGAGAAACUUCAAACUGCACAAAAGUAAUAACUAUUGCAGUUAAAAACUUAAAAAUUGGGUCUUCUCCCACUUGGUUUGCAGUAUCUCCAGCUGUUGUUCUAUCUGGAUUUAGUGUGCUGGCAUCUUUGUUAUCAUGGCACUCAAUAGGUUGCUCUUUUCCUCCACUUUUCCAUGAUGGUCAUGUUCAGCUCCAGCCGUCGAGUGAUGUGCUUUCACUAAUGUUUGCCACCAUCUAUCUAUGCUUCGACUGGUGCGGCAAGAGAAAGCAAAACCUUUUUAGCACGCUGGUGCUUCCCAUUGAUCCUUCAUCAUAAAGCCUGUUUAUCACAAAUGAAACGAACAGAAAAUGCAGAAAGAAACAAGGAAAAAACUACUAGGACAGAAAAUAAUAAAUUCCCAUCCACUUAAAUGCUCCCACCAUGCAACUACUGAAGUAUGAAGAUUCAUUGCUUUAUAAAAGAUAGAUUGAGCAUAGACUUGAAAAGCAUACCAAUUAACCUGAAGCACCUGAAGCAUCGUGAUGCCUAAACAAAUUGAAAACAGGUUGUCUAGCACAAGCAAAGAAAUCUGCACCAAAUCAUAUUGGCCACAGACAACUAUACUAUGUAUGGAACCUAAAAUCCAGAUAAUUUCUGUUCCAAAACUUAAUAUUUCAGAUUUCAGAUACGUAGCUGCAAAAUUAAGCAAUACGACAUUAAAAGUGCUGAAUCAAAGAUAGGGCCAGGAAGGGGAGGGCAUGUACCUUGAGCAAGGAGAGCCUGUAACUGUAAGCAGCGAGUACACAGAGACUUGAAGAACGGGUUAGAAAACGCACCUGGCGCCAGCAAUCAAACGCACCUAUCAAACCUAGCAGUCUAGCACAUGUCCAUCUCCGGAGGUGGAGGCGCGAGCUGCACUGCUGCCACUGCCGGCUGCUGCUGUGGCGGAUCCAACUUCACGGCGUACACCCCAUACACGUAGUUACCGAUGUCCACGCACGCCAUGAGCACGAUGGCGGCCAAGCCGAGGUACAGCCAGAAGCGGAAGAUGGUUACCCAGACGCGGGCCACCUCUGGGUCUGUGGUAAAAGAGACGACCCUGCCGACACAGAUGCAAAACUGGAGCCCGACGAGAGCCAUGACCCAGGUGCGGCCGAACACGCAGUUCACGGCGUACGGAAAUAGCCGCUUCAUCUUCAACGGCAGUGACAGUGAGGGACGCUUCUCAUCCGCCGCCGGCGUGGGUGGGGCCGGAGGUGGGCUCGGCAUCGCAACAGGUGCCGAAGGGGCGACGACUCGAGAGGAGAGGGGAUCCAGCGAGGAGGGAGGAGCACCUGCGGACAUCGGGCGAGGGGGGAGGAGCACCUGCGGCCUCGCCGGAAUCGAUCGAGGGAGCCGCCGGGUCGAGAUCGCGGAGCGCGCGCGGGGAGAUGUGGUCGGGAGAUCGGGAUCGGGAUGCGGGAAUCGAAUUGCUCUAGGAGGCAGGAGGCGGCGGCGCCGACACGCUAGGGUUUUAUUGCCCGGGGAUGAGUCGCAGAGUCGGUUUCGCGGAAUUCUGGUGGGAAUUGCGUAUCCCUCACGCGCGGCGCCAACCUGGAGGAAGAAGAGGAGUCGGAACCGACUGCUCUUUUUUUCGUUAUACCGACUUUAUCCUUGAGCUCUUUUUUAACAAUAAAUAAAUAAAUAAGUAGGAUUUUUUUAUUAUUAGGGUCUUUACCGCUUGAGCCUUCACGACAAAAAUAAAAUAAAAUAAAUAGGCGCAUCGGUGUAAAAAAAACUUGACACAAAGGAGGCGCACCCCUGUUUUUAAUUAAUAACUAAUAGUUAAUAAUUAAUAAAUAGUUAAUAAUUAAAGAUUAAUUAAUAUUUAAUAAUUAAGAAGGCUCGGUUCUCUAGGCUGAGAGCAAGCUCCGGUAACGAGUCGUCUACGAAAGCACCUACGGUGCAUUGGUGUAUGCUUCACACAAAAAAAAAACUGUGUAUGGUUUGAAAUCCAUAAAUAAAUCUCCGUUUGAAAUAGAUCAGGCAAAUUGAAAUAGAGGAAUUUGGCAUGCUUAGUCAACAAAAAAAGAUCACAUACAUAUCCAUACACAGAAAAUCAUUGAUGAAAUCGACGAAACAGAUCAGGCACAUAUUCAUACACAAAAAAAAAGAGGAACAAACUCUUUUCGUGAGAAAUUAAAUCAAUCUCCUAAAAAAUAAAAAAAAUCUAAUAAGAUAUAAGAAGUUUAUCGGUAAUGAUAUCUGUAAGACGUCCGUCAGUCCGGACGUUGUUGUCCACUCAUUUUGUUGCUCCCCCACGCCUUCUCAUCCACUCAUUUUUUUCAUCUCCACUCUUCUCUCACAUCUCGCUGCCACUUCCACCGCUCGCACCAUGCGCCGACACUUUCUGCCAUGCGCGAGCCCCUCCUCCCUCCUUUUCUCCCUCCCUCCCCGCCGCUGCGACCCACACGCCCUCCAUGGCGCCGGAGUAGAGCACGACGGUGGCAGCUUUCAGUGAGCAGCGCAACUCCCUUCCUCCCUGCUCUUUCUCCCUUGCUCUCGUGACCUCUAUGCAUCUGGAGAUGGAGACAACGACGCGGCUCCAACGAGGUAGGUGGAGAGGGAUUUGGAUCCGAAGCCUUUCUCUCCCUUUUCCCUCUCUCCUUCCUUUUGUGGAUCUGGAUCUGAGCCCUCCUUUGCUCCUCCUCCACCUCUUGCUUAUCCUCCUGUUCCUCUGGAUCUAGAUCUACGGGAUAUUGUGUUGGCCAAGGUUUCGGCGAGCUCUUGGGAUUCAGUGCUCGUACGUGUUGUAAUGGUGUUCUCUGGUUUUUCACAGUAUGUUUUUCAGGUGCUGUUGCAGUAGGAUAGGGUUUCGGCGAGCUCUCGGGUUCAGAUCUCGUCAUUGUUGCAAUAGUUCUAUCUAGACAUUGCAGUAGGUUUUAGUCGUUGUUGCAGUUUUGUGUUCUGAGAUGUUGUUUCAGUUGCUUCAGUCUGCAUGUUGUAGUAGUUUGUUUUAUGUUGUUACAACAUUUGUUCGGUGUUGUUGUAGUACUAUGUCCAUGGUGUUUUAGUCGCUCCAUCCAAUGCUUUAAUCUGCACUGUUGUAUUAGUUAUUGCAUGUUGUUGCAACAGUUGGUCGAUGUUGCUGUAAUACUAUGCCUAUGGUGUUUCGGUUGCUCCAUCUAAUGCUUCAACAUAUGCUGUCGUAUUAGUUGUUACAUGUUGUUGCAACAACCGUUCUUUGUUGUUGUAAUACUAUAUUUAUGGUGUUUCAGCUGUUCUAUCCAAUACUUCAAUCUGUAUGUUGUAGCAGUUGUUGCAUGCUGUUGUAGCAAUUAUUCUUGUUUGUUGUAAUACGAUGUUUAUGAUGUUUCAACUACUUCAACUUGUUUGUUGUAGCAGUAUGUCAGCUGUUGUUGCACUAUUAUAUAUAUUGUGUUGCAGCGUCAAGUAUGAGGAUAGGUUGUAGGGACAAGUUAGCGGCAGGCAGAUCUGCUAGGGGCCAACAAAGCGAGAGGCAGCGGCGAUCCCAUGCUCGUGGGGGCGGAGGAUGGGCUCAUUGCGCGAGGAACGGACGAAGUGCGGUCCUUUGUGUGGGGCGAGCGGGGCAGGGGUAAGUUGGUUGGGACGGAGCGGAUAAGAAACAAUCUUCUGUGCAGGAUGAGUGGGGCAGAGGUGGGUUGGUUAGAGGCGGAUGGGAUUUUCUUUUUUUUUCUUUUCUAUGGCGCGGGUGGGGGGGGCUUGGCGUCCGGACGCGUUGUUGGCGCCGGACGUCCGGGCGCUAGCAGUUCCGGAAGUUUAUCUAAUAUCUAAAGUAGACAUUUGCAAAUAAUAAUUCCCUCAUAUCCACCUUAGAUAGACUUGAUGAAUACCGGUGUUGCAAUAUAUAUAAAAUGGUCAUUUAAUAGAUUUCCAGGGAUAUUAUACACCAUUCAAUCAAUACACAUUCGUGUUUCACCCGGUUCUAAUACAUAGACCAAAUUCAUGUCUCUGCGUUCAAUACAAAGUCAUCAAAAAGCUCACAUGUAGACUAAAUCUAUGUGUUUGUGUCCAAUAUGAAGUCUUCAAAGCUCAGGCAUUUGUGUCCUACACGAUCCAAUAUGAAAACACAAAAUCUACAUGUCAUCAAUAUGUGUCUGCAUCUAAAUCUAGGAGCUUGAGCUGAGUCCUCCACUCACCUGCUUGCCAAAGCUCGCCGCACGCGUACCACAGGCUUCUAGAGAUCGGCCUGAUCGGCAGUUGUUGAGGUCGCACCACAUCCCUCCCUUCACAGAUCAGGGAUGAAACCGGGCCACUACAUCAGAUUCGGAGGCAGAGGAACUCACCUUGCUAGAUUACACGCAUGUGCCGACGCGGAUGUCCAUCAGGUCCAACAACUAAUG
RNAcentral lists this long non-coding RNA (5867 nucleotides) under Sorghum bicolor (sorghum). RNAcentral's name for it is "long non-coding RNA (SBIC_LNC008036)". Lineage: Eukaryota; Viridiplantae; Streptophyta; Magnoliopsida; Poales; Poaceae. The record is from RNAcentral.